This 570-nucleotide unclassified non-coding RNA is filed under the name Hevea brasiliensis (rubber tree). Lineage: Eukaryota; Viridiplantae; Streptophyta; Magnoliopsida; Malpighiales; Euphorbiaceae. The record is from RNAcentral.
CUUUUAUCAUUCAAUGUCCAUCCGAGAUAUUUCAAAUACAAAUCCUGCAAAAACAGAGAGGGGUAUGACAGGAUCCAGACACCCAAUGACUGUAUGCAUGCCAUUCUGAUAUCAGGUUCGACAUCUCGAUAACGGUGCAUAAAUAGCCCAGUAAAUAUCUUCCGCAUCAUCUCCUCUAUUAUUGUUAUCUUUUCAUGGGUCAUGGAUAAUCUUUUAUUUAGUGAUUCAACUCGAGGCCCAUCCACUUUCUUCUUCUGUUCAGCAUUUAGCUGUCUCUGUGUGGUUUCCCGCUGUGAACCAAGUACUUUGGCAAUGUGUAUAAAGGAUGUAACAAGUUGAAGCCCCAUUAAUGAAGCAACCUGACGAUAUACUCUAGGAGGAGUGCAUGAUAGCGCAAUCACAUAAUCCAUGCACUUGUCAAACAAGACCCUAUCAAAAAGUGGUCCAUUUUCACAUUCAGCAACCAGGGUAUCCCAGAAGUAGACGAGAUUAUCUUUGAAGUUCUUGAAGUCCUUCUUCUUUGAAGUUUGAUAAUCCUCAACUUCACCCCUCUUAGCCAUGUUUACAAGA